AAAAUUUUUAAUUGUAAAAUUGCUACAUGAGAAGACAAGUUGUUAGAUGAAAUUCAAAUAUUCUCUAUGUUUGUGUUGUGUAGGUCAAAAAAUAAUAAACAAAGAUGAUAUUGAUUGUGAUGACCUAGAGAUUCAUUUUAAAACACAACAAUCUUCAUCAUCUUUAAAUAAAAGGGAUAAACAUUAUGGAUUUCCAUUAUCUCAAGCAAAUUUAUGACAAAUUCGCUCAUGGCCAAAUCUAAUAUGGCAGCUGGAAAAGGCAAAGGAUCUUUUUAGCCUAACUAAGCUAUACAACUUAAUAAAAGAUUCUGUAUCUCAAUGUUAUCCUGGCUUAUCUAUACGAUAUCCUGUAUCCACUCACACACAUAAAUUUUACCCACAUACGAUAUCCUGUAUCCACUCACACACAUAAAUUUUACCCACACACGUAAAUCCUGUAAAUUUACUCACACACAUAAAUCUUAAUAAAGAUGUUUAUAUUUUUAUCUAUAAAUUGUAAACUUUAUAUAAAUAAAAUGUAUAUUUUUUAUGUUUUUCAUUGUAUAUUACUAUUUUUAUUAAAAAUCGA
This is a non-coding RNA of Hydra vulgaris (swiftwater hydra), 568 nucleotides long. The record is from RefSeq and is a predicted model, not a curated record. Lineage: Eukaryota; Metazoa; Cnidaria; Hydrozoa; Anthoathecata; Hydridae.